RNAcentral lists this ribosomal RNA (686 nucleotides) under Pristimantis bicantus. RNAcentral's name for it is "partial large subunit ribosomal RNA". The stretch from base 427 to 675 matches the Rfam family "Archaeal large subunit ribosomal RNA", at positions 1787 to 2143 of the family's 2987-position model. Lineage: Eukaryota; Metazoa; Chordata; Amphibia; Anura; Strabomantidae. The record is from RNAcentral.
GUUCUCAAAAAAAGAAUCUUAGUCCAACCUAAAGUUAUACAAAUUUACAUAAAUUUUCCCACUCACUUUAGAGCAAUUCAAAUGAGGUACAGCCCAUUUGAUACAGGAUCCAACCUUUACUAACGGGUAAUAUCUGACUCCACCCCCAAGUAGGCUUAAGAGCAGCCACCUUUUAAAAAGCGUCAAACCUUAACGUAUUAACACCAAUUCACAACCCCCCAUCAACCCCUUUCACCCUACUGAGAACUUCUAUAACAUUAUAGAACCUUUAAUGUUAAAACUAGUAACAAGAGAUACACCCUCUCUAUAAUGCAAACUCAAACCAGCAAGAACCUAUCACUGGUGAUUAACAGAAACAAAGUAGUAACUUUCUCAAGAAAACUCUACUCCCUCAACUGUUAACCUAACACAAGAGCAUCCCAAGAAAGAUUUAAAGAAAAAGAAGGAACUCGGCAAACAUAAAUCUCGCCUGUUUACCAAAAACAUCGCCUCUUGUCACCUAUAAGAGGUCCAGCCUGCCCAGUGACUCUUGUUCAACGGCCGCGGUAUCCUAACCGUGCGAAGGUAGCGUAAUCACUUGUCUUUUAAAUAAAGACUAGUAUGAAAGGCACCACGAAGAUUAAACUGUCUCCUCUCUCCAAUCAGUGAACCUAAUCUCCCCGUGAAAAAGCGGGAAUUUUUAUAUA